CUUUGAUGAUAGUUCAGGAAUGAAAGAGACAAAACCAAUAGAGAAGAGGCCAUCUCAGAAUACAGUAAGAAGGUGACCCUAUAAGCCAGGAAGAGAGGCCUCACCAGAAACUAAUCCUGAUGGCGUCUUGACCUUGGACUUCUAGCCCCCAGAAAUGUGAGCAAAUAAAUGUAUGUUGUUCAAGCCACCCAGCCUGUGGUAUUUUGCUGUGGAAGCCUGAGCUGAUUAAUUAUUAUAGUAAAAAGAACGUGGCCUCUGAACCAAACAGAUGCGACUUUAAAUCCUAGCUCUGUCAUUCAUUAGUUGUAUCUUU
RNAcentral lists this long non-coding RNA (313 nucleotides) under Homo sapiens (human). RNAcentral's name for it is "HSALNT0052383". The record is from RNAcentral. Lineage: Eukaryota; Metazoa; Chordata; Mammalia; Primates; Hominidae.